GAUGAACGCUGGCGGUAUGCUUAACACAUGCCAGUCGAACGGACUCUUCGGAGUUAGUGGCGGACGGGUGAGUAACGCGUGAGAAUCUGGCUUUGGGUUCGGGACAACCACUGGAAACGGUGGCUAAUACCGGAUGUGCCGAGAGGUAAAAGAGAAAUUGCCUGAAGAUGAGCUCGCGUCUGAUUAGCUAGUUGGUGAGGUAAAGGCUCACCAAGGCAGCGACCAGUAGCUGGUCUGAGAGGAUGACCAGCCACACUGGGACUGAGACACGGCCCAGACUCCUACGGGAGGCAGCAGUGGGGAAUUUUCCGAAAUGGGCGAAAGCCUGACGGAGCAAUACCGCGUGAGGGAAGAAGGCUCUUGGGUUGUAAACCUCUUUUCUUAGGGAAGAACAAAAUGACGGUACCUAAGGAAUCAGCAUCGGCUAACUCCGUG
Molecule: ribosomal RNA, 435 nt
Filed under: uncultured bacterium
Lineage: Bacteria
Description: partial 16S ribosomal RNA
Rfam family: Bacterial small subunit ribosomal RNA
Source: RNAcentral